UCUCUCCUGCUUUUCAUUGGGCAACCCUUGCCUCCCUCCUGCUUGCAUGGUAUGACUCCUCCCUCUCUGCUACCCAUUGUUUCCCCAUACAGUAUCAGGGUGAGGGGAUGCCAUUCUGGCUCCAGCGAGGGACGUGGGAGACACAGAAGGAGCAUGCGACAAAGCAUCAUCUGGAGAUUCACUGCCAGUAACCUGUGAUGACGGGUGAGUCGUUUACUGGGUCGAUCUUGUUUUUUGAACCCCCUCAUCAUGCAUGCUGCACUCUCUUAAAACAAGUGGCCGAGAUCAUCAUUUGCGAUUCCAAACAUCUGGCUCGAGCAGAUUGUCCGAACGGGCUUCCAGCAGAGAGGGGCCAUGUAUGCUGUCAAGGGAUUAGAGCUAAUCCUGCCUGUGGUUAACAAUCACCUUUUUGUCUGGACAGAGUUUGUCAUGGAGGCUUUCGUAAUUUAUGCUGAGAUAUGCACAGCUCAUUGGUGGUGGCCUUCGGUGAAUGAAGAACUUUGCAGCAACUUUGCUCUCUGAGCUCGGUCUAAUAUUCCAAGCACUUUCAUGCAAAACACAUUUUCGAAGCAGAAAGAAAGAGUUGUAGUUUUCCGCUUGCCUCGCUUGGAACAGGUGCGUGUAAGUGGAAGAGGGGUGGCUCUCAGCACUGGAAAGUUGCAGCACAGCACGGGAAGAUGUGGGGAAAAAGGCAAGGGACGCUGUCUCAAAGCGCCUUUUGUUGCUUGAAUUGAAGACAAGAAUCAGAGACUGACAAAUACCUGGCCCCUACGCAGCCCAAAUACCUCUGUUGCACUUAAUACAAUGUCAAUAAAAGCCUUCUCUGUAGUCCAAAGUAGCCCGAUUCCACUCUGUACACAGCGAUUUUUUUUCUUUCUUGUUUGUACAACGGCUACUGUUCUCUGAGUGAGGAAAUCUGGCCUGGAGUCUCGACUCAAUGAAAACCAAGCACCUAACAACUGCUAACCUCCACCUCUUUUUGCCUGUAUCGCUGUGACCUGAUCAACAUGGGAUGGGCCUAUCAUAUAAAUGUGCCUUAGACAAGAGUCAAGUGCAUCAUGGCACCUCUCAGAGGAGGAAAGGCUUCAGCGAUAUUCUGUACUCACGACAGUUCUGAUAAAACUGCCACUCUCGAGGCCUUUCCACUGUACUGUAGCCUGAAUGAUCCAGCAUGGAGUCACUUCUAACAUUGCACAUUCCAGCAUUUCCACUGCUCCAGCCUCCAUCGCAAAUGAUGCUCAUUGGCUGAAUUGAUGAGACGAUAGGCUCCAGCAAUCAGCUGCAGUGAGGUUGGAGAUGUGGUGACUUCAUGCAAAGUGUCUAUAUGGUAAAAUGCCGGGGUGCCCACUAGACUUUCUGUGCCCAAUAGUGGUUUAAACAUGCACAGUGAUCUCCUUCCAAAAUCAUGCAUGGAUUAAAAAAACAAGUUUAUAAGACGCUCUUAAGAUUGAGCAGGAAAAUAGCUGUAAUCAAAAUGGCACCUUGCAUUCAGCCUUUUAUACCAAAGAUGAGUUUUGCCUGCCAUGGGAUUGAAAUAACUUACAGAACAGGCUGCUGUUGGGUUCAAACAUCGGCAAGGGAGGGCUCAUUUUUCUCGAGUGGUUGUUAUGAAAGUAGAAUUUUGAGGAGACUGCUCCUUCCUCUGGGCUUAGAAAGACUCGGUUUCUGCGUUUAAUUAUGCAUGCUUGUGUGAGUUUUAAAUCUGCAAUGUUGUCUGCAACCUGCCCCUCGUUUGACCUCUUUUUUGUUUCCAAGCUCUUCCAAGCAUCUUGGCAUCCAGAUGAGCCCACAACCAUGUCAUAUGGCUUUCUAUUCCUACGUGAGUUCCCUCUCGCAUUUCAUGUAGGGUUCAAAGCCAUUGGACACACAGUGGACAGUCAACAAAAGGAAACUGUUGUUUUGGAAAUGGUAAAUGUGAAAAAGGCAUCACUUUCAACCUUCAAGGUACGCAAAACUCUUCUACUCUGUCACAUCAUUCUCACCGUCACACAAUGAUUCAUGAAAUAAAUGGACCGGUGUCACCAAAGACAUUUCAAACCACAGGUCCACACAACAAGUUUCCCCUCUUGGAAGUGAUCCCCUGGAGUCUAAUGGCCUUGUUAAGCGAUACGGCUUUUUUGUCGUUCACGGUGGUCACGGUCAGACUACCAGAUAAAUAGCCUUCUGUGUCUUAAUUCGGUGAGAUAUAAGUCUGUCGCCGACCAGAUUCUGUCCAGCCUUUGCAAUUAAGCAAAUCCUUACCGAUUGUCUGACUCACAAUGAAUGGGAAAACUUGUCAUUUGUAGUUUGGGUUUGAAAUACAGGUACCGGUCCUACAGCCAUUCUGAACACCUCAUAGUCACGACAAAAAGUAACAUCACAUUCCAAUUCUGGGGUUGCCAUAGAACACCAGCUUUCAUUGGCUACAUCAUGUAUACCAGGACCUACCGUAAUAUCGGAUUUUGCACGUCCAUCAAUAGUGUAGACUUUAUAGUCCUCAUCCCUCAAAUAGAUGUUCUAUUUGGUCAUCCAACAUAAGGCAAAUACAGGCACAUGCCUCUUUCCGUAUGCAAGUACAAUGAGCUCAGUACAAAUACUCCUGGGCAUAUAUGUCUUAACUGCUGACGACAACAGCAGCAGCUAGGAAUGCACGUAACGGUCGGUGAAAUAGUUGAAAGGGUGGACACUCGCCACAUGUAAUGUAAAUAAAUUCCCUUGGCAGGAUUCAAGAUGACCUCCCGUAUGGUGCUGAUGGCGUACCUUCCAAAGUAGACUGCAUGAUAUUCUGAUUCCACAGCUUAGUAUACAGCAUGUGUACAGUACACAGACCGUAUACAGUACAUUCCUCCAUAGUAGUCCAUUUUCUUUGAAACUCCACUUUCACUUGAUUUGGAUUGUAAAACUCUGCUAACAUUAUUGAAUAUUGAUCAAAAUAAAGUCUUCCACCAAGUCAUUUUGUUUUUGAAAUAGCUUUCAUGGCAUGCCUGUUAUUAGGACAUUUGUGUGACAAACAUGCCACAUACACUCUUUGUUUCAGGGGGUAUGCUCUGGAUUUAUCAAAACAAACAAAGAAACAAACAUUGGUCGUAACAUGGUUGGCAUGUUUGCCUGUGUUUGACUCCUCCAUGCUGGUGCUUGUAGGUUCCCAGCAGAAAGGGGAGUUUGAUGAAGAAAAUAAAGAAGAGGACAGUGAGCCUUAAAGCAUGAAGAGUUUGGAUGUUAAAUAUGAUGAAAACAGGCGAGAUAAAUACAUUGCAGCUGCCAAAUGAUUUACCAAAUGUUAACUCAUUUACAACUGAAAAACAAAUUUCCAAAGGAUAUAUAGCGCAUCGCGCUGAGUUUUGUUUUUGUAGCUGUACGGGUUAUGGGUGUCACGUUGCAUGGUGGUGGAGGACCCCAAAAAGCAGGCAGGUGGGAGAGGAGCAGGUUGUACUUGACGAGCUG
This is a long non-coding RNA of Hippocampus zosterae (dwarf seahorse), 3423 nucleotides long. RefSeq lists it as uncharacterized. Lineage: Eukaryota; Metazoa; Chordata; Actinopteri; Syngnathiformes; Syngnathidae. The record is from RefSeq and is a predicted model, not a curated record. The transcript has 2 exons.